Molecule: long non-coding RNA, 482 nt
Organism: Mustela erminea (ermine)
Lineage: Eukaryota; Metazoa; Chordata; Mammalia; Carnivora; Mustelidae
Exons: 2
Source: RefSeq, a predicted model, not a curated record
CCCCGGCCCGCGCGCCCGCGAGCUGGAGGACCUGGAGGACAGGGAGCCCGGGCCCCCGGAGUUGCUUCCCUUCGUCCAGGUUCCCGGAGGACUCCUGAGAGGCUCGACCCCAGCUGGAACUCAGGGCGGGGGUUGGUGGUGCUGGGAGGACCCGCUGAAGUCUUAUGGACAAGAAAUCGUGUAACUUCACAAAAGAAAAACUUUAAUCAUUCCAUUGAUCUUUGAAAGACUGCAAUCUUACUUAACAUGUCAGUUUAAAAAAAAAUUACUAAUAUUCCACCUAUGAGAAAUAUUUAAUGUAUAAAUUGAUAUACUGUGCACCUUAUUCACCAGUCACAUGAAAAGAAUCUAUUUUGAAAAUAGAUUCUGUCGGUAAUGUGUGAUGUGACACUAUUAAAAAAAGUGUCACUUAUGAAACAGUAUCAGACAUCUGAAGUAGUACUAUCAACUUCAAACCUGGCAUAAAAUAAUGAGAUGAACUA